Molecule: ribosomal RNA, 413 nt
Filed under: uncultured bacterium
Lineage: Bacteria
Description: bacterial SSU rRNA
Rfam family: Bacterial small subunit ribosomal RNA
Source: RNAcentral
GUGCCAGCCGCCGCGGUAAUACGUAGGGGGCGAGCGUUGUCCGGAAUUACUGGGUGUAAAGGGCGCGUAGGCGGUUGUUUAAGUCAGGUGAUAAAGGUCACGGCUCAACCGUGGUAGUUCAUCUGAUACUGGACGGCUUGAGUGCAGGAGAGGGGAGUGGAAUUCCCAGUGUAGCGGUGAAAUGCGUAGAUAUUGGGAGGAACACCAGUGGCGAAGGCGGCUCCCUGGCCUGCAACUGACGCUGAGGCGCGAAAGCUGGGGGAGCGAACAGGAUUAGAUACCCUGGUAGUCCCAGCCGUAAACGAUGAGUGCUAGGUGUAGGAGGUAUCGACCCCUUCUGUGCCGCAGUUAACGCAAUAAGCACUCCACCUGGGGAGUACGGCCGCAAGGUUGAAACUCAAAUAAAUUGACGG